Molecule: long non-coding RNA, 3940 nt
Organism: Asparagus officinalis (garden asparagus)
Lineage: Eukaryota; Viridiplantae; Streptophyta; Magnoliopsida; Asparagales; Asparagaceae
Exons: 3
Source: RefSeq, a predicted model, not a curated record
ACAGUACUCCCUGCUUGACUCGUGACAGUACUCCCUGCUUGUCUUUACACGCACCUGCUACAGUACCCCCUAUCGACCAUAGACUGUCGCUAGCUCGUGCCUCGGCGACAGACUGUGGCUCUGUACUCGGGCAGCAGCCUUUGAUUUUGUAAGAAGCAGCACAGCUAGCAUCUCCAGCUGCACAGUUCCAAGAGCUAGCUAGAAGAGACAGCCUCGAUCGAGCGCCUCAAUUCAUGGUCCUUGAAGCUUUUCUCUCCACCCGAUUCUUCUUCUCUACUUCGCUCUUUGAUCCGCCGAGGAAAAGGAAGGGUUCAGAUUCUUGCUCCCUGCUCAAAUUCAACUAAUUUAUUGUUUGCUCCAGCCGUCUCCGCUCCCACCGCCAGCCGCCUCCGAUCCCGCUUCUCUCGCCGCCACGACGCCACCAAACGUCAACCUCAACGGUUCUAUCAUUCUAACUAAAGCUAUUUAAUUUUCGUUAUCAUUUAUUCAUAUUAAUUUUAUGCUUAAUUAGAGAUAUUGUAGUCUUGUAGAUAUACAUUGAAAGUUUUUUAUUGCUUAUCGUGUAUAAUUGAUUAUACCCGUAGCAGUUGCUUUCGCUGAAAGAAGUUUUUCAAAAUUAAAAUUAUUAAAAUAUUAUUUAAGAUUGAUCAUGUUACAAUAUAGAUUGAAUGGUUUAGUAAUAUUAUCUAUCGAAAAUAAUAUGUUAGAAAAUAUUAAAUAUAAAACUUUAAUUAGUAAUUUUGCAGCUCAAAAGGUAAGAAGAAUGAGAUAAAAUCUAUUAUGAGCUGUAUCACUUAGGCCUCAUCUAAUAUCUCGCCUUGGGCCCCAAAAUUCCUACGUUUAUUUACCGGUCGUGAUGGACUACUUUUCCAAGUACAAAAUUGUACACUAUUUUCAGCUAUUUUGUUUGAACUUUUCUAUAUGAGCAAAUUUUAUUUCUAUUUCAUGUUCCAUGUGUUUUUUGUUGUUCUAAUUUGUGGGGGAAUAUAAAGUUUAAAUAUAUUGCAUAAGACGAAUGCAAUUAACCUAGAGACCUGAUUGCUUAAUUUCUUCUUUUUCCCCUUGAAUUCAUGUUUAAAUAUAUUGCAUACUACGGAAUUGUCAUGAGACUUGAGGUCUAUAAUAUUAUACUCUAGCAACUGACAUUGUGAGUUUCAUUCAAGACUUCAUCUUUUAUGUACCUAAACAAUUGGUAUUACUUGUUGAAAUUUAAUUUGUAUGCACCUAAACAAAGGCAAGGUUCAUUCAUUAACCAUGUUGCUGACUCUUGAAGAAUAUUAAUCUACUUCAACCAACCAUCUAACUUGGGUUUUGUUUGAGGCAGUGCUUGCUGAAUAGUUAUUUGAUGUUUGAUUAGGGUACAAAAAUAGUCUGCAAUGCAAAUAAUCACAGUCUGCUUUAAUUUUCUUCAAGCAAAUUAUUGUUUUGAAUUAUUUCAAAUUUGACUGGCAUUUGCAAGUGAAGGAUUACUAUGUAUCUUUUCAUUGGUUGAAAAUUUUAUGUUCCGGUCAUAAGAAUAACAAAAAUGCAAGUUUUUUUCCGGAGCUAAUCAAAUAUUUUAUGUAUUACUUGACUUGAAAGAAAUACAUAGAGUUAGCGGUAAAGUUUAGUUUUUAUAUCGUGGAGAUGCACAAAAGUCUAAACCUAUAGACAAUUAUGACUGAAAUUAUGGUCUUCGUUUUUCCUUGUAGAUUAAACUGAAUAGACUCUUUGUUUAGUAUGACUAAGAAGCAAUGCUAUCUAAAUUUUGUAUCCGACAAAAUAUGCAGCUUCUUGAUUGUUAAAUGCAUGCUAAACAAACUUAUUACUAAUGAGCCAAUAACCAAUUCUAAAACUAUAGCUCUGCAAAAAUGAAUGAAAAAUGGGCGCUUGAUGAAGAUUAGAACAAGUGUUAAAGCUGUUACAUAAGUACCAUAUUUUCACAAAGAAAUUUGUCGUUUUAUGUGGUUUGAACAAGUGUUAAAGUUGUUACAUAUGUACCAUAUUUUCACAAAGAAAUUUGUCGUUUUAUGUGGUUUGAUUAAAUUUGGAUAUAACCAAUCAACCGCAUACAAAGCACAAUUCUUUAUUAAAAUAUUAUAGCUUUGAAUAUUAAUUGAACUUCGUUGGAGAGCUUUGGAAACACCCCUAACUAAUAAAAAUAGUGCACAAGAAGAAUUAAUAUUUUAAGUUUUUUAGCUGUUUUCCUCAAUGAUCAAGUGAAGAACUAACAAACUGAUGUUGUUAAGCUUUUUAAAGAGAAAUUAUGUUUUGUUUCAGUAUCAAGCAUGUAGAUAUUGCUCCAUAGACCACAUGCUUUAUGAUAAGAAUCUCUAGCUGUAAUUGCUUGGGUUCUCAUCGGAAGAAUUGGAAAUGGUAAAGAGUUGUGUUUUAGCAGUUGGUGGUGGGGAGAGGCAACGGAUGAGAGUAAGGUUUAAUUGGUUGGUUGUGUAUCAUAUGCUAACUUUCAAAAUGGUGUUUUGAAAACGGUUUUGAAAAAUAAACGCCAUGACAUGAUGUUUUUUAAAAAACACAAAAAAAAAACACUUUGGUUACCAAACGCUUCCUUAAUAAACAAACAUUUCCAAUACUAAUGUUUCUAACUCUAAAAAAAAGAAAACACAUUGAAACACUUUCUUAAUAAGCCAAAAUAAUAAAGGAUGUAAAUUAGUCGCUGGGUGGGAAAAUGGGAGCCUGGGAGGGAGCGGGAGCGGGAGCAUUAUUACCCUUGGAAAGCUUUUAUUUCGACACUGAUGAUAAAUAGGCCGAGAGCAACAAUUCCUCCCCCCGCCACAACAGUAAAGACAGUCAUUACGACCAUGGGGAUUUUGAAAAGCUCCAGGAUAACUAAAAGUACAACCGAUAGGAAGAUCCAGUUUGCAACGACAACCCAAAGAUUGGGGGUUCUGCUACCUAUCCAGUUUGCCAACAUAAUAGCAGUUUUAAAAACAAAAAAAAAACAUAGAGCAACACCCUCAUGGUUUUUAGCCUCUGCCAAACACAAAAAUACUAUAAGAAAAAAUCUCAACUUGAAAGGAAAAACAAAUUUAAAAAAAAAAUAACUAACCUUGUCGUGGGCCUUGGCGUUUCCGUCGGCGCCGACCUUUUUUAGGAGGGUUGCCACCUUCAGCAGACUUCAAACAUGGCCAACAUCCCUUCACAUGCAGACAAAAACAUAAAUAUAUACAAUGGAGAUAAAAAAAUCUCCUUGGGCAAUAUAUACGUUGUAUGUACUAUUCACCCCUAGCUAAUUUUAUCACUUAAUCAUACAUGUUUCAGAUAUAUACUAAUCAAUCAUAUAUUCAUCAGAAUACGUAGCUAUGAGUUCACGUCAAACAAUAGGAAACAACCCUUAUCAAAUAGGAGAUGCACACAUUUAGCGAUGCAUAGCUACACGAUGGAAUUUCAGAUAUAAUUCUUAUCAAAAAUUUUAAGAAAAUUAAAAUAGAUAGAUUCUUAACGGAUUAUGAUAGGGAAAAAAUAGAAGAAUAAAAGUAGUGAUCACAUGCUCCUAUUGUUGAGAGAACAUGAUAAAAUUAGCUUCCUUAUUUUGGAAAUAUUUUAUGUUAUUCUCUUUUUUUAUAUAGCAUUAAGAAAAAUUAGAAAAUGCAUGAAAGAUCAAGAAGAUGAGCACGUGAAAAUAAAGAAACGACUCGGUUUUUUUCAAGUACUUAAAUAUCACACAAAAAGUUAAACAAGAAUAUGUUAUUCUCUUUUUUCACUUAGAAGUUGUGUAUUAAUAAUAUUAUAUGAGAAUAAGCUCUUUUUUAGAAAAUAAAAAGGUUUAAAACUUAAUUUUAGAACAAAAGCAAGCAAAUAUUCAAACUCUGUGACUUUCACUGUUCCUUCUACUGGGAAUCAAACUCUGGUUAUUCUAAAAUAAGUAAAAGAAUCAUAAUAUAAAAUACACGUCCGUAUUUAAAAUUUCAAGGUAUAAAUAAACAUGCAAAAAAUAUAUUAA